Molecule: long non-coding RNA, 913 nt
Filed under: Homo sapiens (human)
Lineage: Eukaryota; Metazoa; Chordata; Mammalia; Primates; Hominidae
Description: HSALNT0361407
Source: RNAcentral
GUUUCUAACAAUAGCUAGGAGGCAACCUCAUGGUGUAAUGAACUUCAUAGUUGGACAGAAUGUGUUCAAAUCCCAUCUCCUCACCCAAGUUCUGAGAACUCUGCAAGACAGUUAAAUCUCUCUGAGCCUCAGUUUCUUCGUUUGUAAAAAAAAAGGGACAUUCAUGUUUUGACUGUUCUUGAACAACUCUGGAAACCUGUGAAGUAUACACUGGCUGACCAGUAAGUGCAAAUUGUAUGUAAGGAGGUUCUAAGAAGGUGAAUCACCCACCUCCCAGUGCCCACAUCUCCACCCAGUUCUGUUGUUCUCUGCUGAAACUCAAAUAUAGAGCUUAAAUAUCAUCUUAUUGUGAAAUAUAGCAUAUAUACAGAAAGAUAGAUAAAGAAAAAUGUACAGCAGAAAUAGAAUGUAGAGGGCAGUGAUUUGUCACAAAGAAGCACCUGUGAGAUCAAUAUCCAGGUGGAAGUCUAGGUCAGGGGUCAGCAAACUUUUUCUCUAGAGAACAGAAGAGUAAAUAUUUUACUUAGCUAUUUGGUCCCUUCAGCAACUACCUAACUCUGCUAUGUUAGUCUAUUCAGGCAGCUGUAACAAAAUACCAUAAACUGUGUGGCCUAUAAACAAUAAAACUAUACUUCUUACAGUUCUGGAGGCUGGGAAGUCCAAGAUCAAAGUGCCAGCUGACUCAGAUUCCAUGUCUGUGAGAAGAGUGCCAACUGUUGCACCUCUACUCCAGAGCUACACAGGACUUGGUAUUACCAGACUUCUGUAGCUUAUCCAUUCUGCCCAAAAUGUCAUCUUCUCAUAAAAUCUUGGUGGAGGUGCACCCCAGGGAUGAUUUGGCCUCAGUCAAGAGCUAAUUUUGCAGUGAGCCAAGAUCGCACCACUGCACUCCAGCCUAGGCGACUGAACAAGA